GUGCCAGCCGCCGCGGUAAUACGUAGGUGGCGAGCGUUGUCCGGAUUUACUGGGCGUAAAGAGCGCGCAGGCGGUCGUACAAGUCGCGUGUGAAAGCCCCCGGCUCAACUGGGGAGGGUCACGCGAUACUGUUCGACUCGAAGGCAGGAGAGGGAAGUGGAAUUCCCGGUGUAGUGGUGAAAUGCGUAGAUAUCGGGAGGAACACCAGUGGCGAAGGCGACUUCCUGGCCUGUUCUUGACGCUGAGGCGCGAAAGCUAGGGUAGCAAACGGGAUUAGAUACCCCCGUAGUCC
Molecule: ribosomal RNA, 292 nt
Filed under: uncultured bacterium
Lineage: Bacteria
Description: partial 16S ribosomal RNA
Rfam family: Bacterial small subunit ribosomal RNA
Source: RNAcentral